UGCAAGACUACUGAGGUACUGCUUAUCCACCUAAAAAUUAACUGUCUUCAAAACAUAUUUCUUGUCUUUAUUGUAUUGCUGUAAAAAUUCACUUGUAACUCCUGAAUUAUUCAUUUCUAGAUCUUUUGGCUAAGGAGGUAAUAAAUCUUAACACUGGUAAAAACAAUUGUAGCAUACACCACAGGAAUUUUCAACUUUGUGAUUAAAUGGACUGUUUUCUUGUUUUCCUUCCUCUGUUUACCGAUCAUUUAUCUCUUGCACUGCAGCUUCCUUUGCAAGAUGACACAAACAAUAUUGUACUUAGCUUUGCUGUUCUAGAACGUGGGGAAUAAAAGGCUUACAGCGAGCACAGCUUGCAGCAGGUCAGUUCAGAGGAGCCAGAUGUACUGGUCUUGGAGACUGCCUGCAAAGCACAAGCAGCACAGCCCUGGGCAGCGAGUGCACUGACACUGCCUGAAUGCCCCCUCUGCCUCCGAGACCACACCGAGAACCUCGGUUAUCUGAACACCACACCUGGUUAGGGCUAAGCAAAUACAGCUGGCUUGGAAACAAGGUUGUUUUGUGGUUACAGAGUAAGUUUUCCAUCAACGUCAAAUCUCUUGGCUCUGCUGCAAAUCCUGGUGAUUUCCAGUAUAACAUGAACUCGUUUUCCAAAGUAGUAGCAAUGCCUAGAUUUACAGUAACAGAAAGUUUAGUUUGUAUCAAGAAUUCAAACACAACCCAAGGAAUUAAUUUAUAUACACAACAUGGAAACAGAGGUUCAGACACUGUCAUUUGGUGCAGUGAUCUCCUAAUUAUAUCACUGAGAGCUUUUUGAAGUAACAGUACCAGCUUACUGCCUUCAGGGAGCAAGAGACUGACAGUUAAAGGAAUGUUAAGACCUCAGUUCGUACCUCUCAUUCUGUAAGCAGCAUAAUUCUCUUUGAAGCAGCUGCAGGAUACCUGCAUGAAGGAGAGGUCACUAUAAAGGAAGAUGAAGCCCUCGUUCAAACAGAAGAGUGGUGAGACGUGCUAUUAUUAAGCCACAGCUAAAUACAGCCCAGGACUUGCUGCUACAGUUUGAUAUCCUCAAAAAUCAAACUUAUUUGUCCUUCCUGUUCAUGAAAUAGUACCUCAAGGGCUGUGUCUAUCUCACCUAACUUUCAGCGAAGUCAGUGAGCUAGAAACCUGUUCAGUCUCAUCUCCAUCUGCAUGUAACAACACAGGACAGAUACAGAAAGCAAGUCAGCCUCCACGUGGAUUUUCUCCCUCUACUACUACUACAAAGGCAUUUAUUACCUGAUUGUUUAUCCUUUAAAGCUGUUUUACACAUCUCAAUGCGGGCAGAGUGAUAAGGAACGUAACGAUCCUGCAGAGAUCCUACUAACACAAUGUUUUUGAAGUAAUGAAGGCCUGCAAGAAAAAAGUCUCCCCGAGCCUUUCCUUCUCCCUUACACCCACCUCACUGAAGGACCUGGAAACAAGAUCGUGUAGCUGAGGCUGUGGCCCAAAAUACAGCUCUUUCCAUCUCUUUGGUAAGAAAGAAAAAAGCAGAAACUGAGCCUGAAGACUUUUAUAUCCCUUCUACCAUUUAUGGGGAACAAAGUCUGAAAUGCACAUAAUGACUCUUGAGACGAUACUAUC
This is a long non-coding RNA of Passer domesticus (house sparrow), 1623 nucleotides long. RefSeq lists it as uncharacterized. NCBI's taxonomy places the organism in Eukaryota, Metazoa, Chordata, Aves, Passeriformes, Passeridae. The transcript has 4 exons. The record is from RefSeq and is a predicted model, not a curated record.